Molecule: ribosomal RNA, 603 nt
Filed under: uncultured bacterium
Lineage: Bacteria
Description: bacterial SSU rRNA
Rfam family: Bacterial small subunit ribosomal RNA (bases 1-525)
Source: RNAcentral
CCUACGGGAGGCAGCAGUGGGGAAUAUUGCACAAUGGGCGCAAGCCUGAUGCAGCGACGCCGCGUGAGGGAUGACGGCCUUCGGGUUGUAAACCUCUUUCAGUAGGGAAGAAGCGAAAGUGACGGUACCUGCAGAAGAAGCGCCGGCUAACUACGUGCCAGCAGCCGCGGUAAUACGUAGGGCGCAAGCGUUAUCCGGAAUUAUUGGGCGUAAAGAGCUCGUAGGCGGUUUGUCGCGUCUGCCGUGAAAGUCCGGGGCUCAACUCCGGAUCUGCGGUGGGUACGGGCAGACUAGAGUGAUGUAGGGGAGACUGGAAUUCCUGGUGUAGCGGUGAAAUGCGCAGAUAUCAGGAGGAACACCGAUGGCGAAGGCAGGUCUCUGGGCAUUAACUGACGCUGAGGAGCGAAAGCAUGGGGAGCGAACAGGAUUAGAUACCCUGGUAGUCCAUGCCGUAAACGUUGGGCACUAGGUGUGGGGGACAUUCCACGUUUUCCGCGCCGUAGCUAACGCAUUAAGUGCCCCGCCUGGGGAGGUACGGCCGCGAGACGAAACUACGAAGAAGUAGACGCGUGAGACGUGCCGACGACGACGACGAGGGAGAGG